Humulus lupulus (European hop) is the source of this 769-nucleotide long non-coding RNA. RefSeq lists it as uncharacterized. The record is from RefSeq and is a predicted model, not a curated record. The transcript is spliced from 3 exons. NCBI's taxonomy places the organism in Eukaryota, Viridiplantae, Streptophyta, Magnoliopsida, Rosales, Cannabaceae.
UUAAUAAAAUCUCAGUUAUUUAUUUAUUCUUUAUGUUUAUGAUGUAUUGUAUUCCUAUUUAUAUUUAUGUUUUUAAAGUUUUUAACAUAUUUGAAAAUGUUUAAUCUAAAAGUACCUUAGUCAUAUUUUCUUGUAACUAUCAUGUUGCUAUCAAUAGACUUUUUCUGGCCUGGUUAGCUUGUCUUGUUGGAGAUUGAUUGAAGCUUUGCAGGGGCAACGAGAUUUCGUUUUGUUUGUUCCAUUUUCUUGUGUUCCUUUGCAAGUGUGCCAGAAGAUUAUCUUGGGGUUCUUGACCAACCUGCUGCAGACGGAGGUGGCUCUUGGGGUUCUCGGCUCCAACGGCGGUGCUGUAGCAAAUGGUGGCAGUAGGUAUUUUUUUUUUUAUUUCUUUGAUAAAUAAUGGUUUUUUCAUUAAAUAUAUAAAUGUUCUUUAAAAUACAUUUAUUUGUUGAGACAGGGCGGCUGGUGGGUGCACUGGUGAAAGCUGGGUCAUGGUGGCUUGUGGAGGCAACACUUUUCUCAAUAAGCACUUUUGCUGAUGGCAGACGAAAGGUGGGACCCAAAUGACCCAUCUGAUUAAAAUGGGACUUUAUAGGCUGCAAAUACCAGUGAUGAGCCUGCUGAUCAGGUUCCAACACUCCAAAACGAUGAAGAUGAUGAAAAAGAUGACAAAGAUGUUGGAUGCGUACGGUAAUCAUGUUAUGGAAGGCUAUGAAGUUCGGGUGGAUGUACAGGGAUUUCAGAUGCUAGAUCAACUAGGCCCCAGGCG